AUUGAUUAUUUUGAUAAGCAACAUAGUGAACAAUUACAUUCCAAAUCCUGAACAUUGCUAUAUUAGAAAGUGGACUUCACAGUAUACGUCCUGAUAACAAAUGUAAAACCACUGCCACAGUAAACUCUACCAACACAUGGUUUCCUGGAUGGUUCAUUGCAUAAACUUACAGCACGAGGGCCAGUUUGAUCGUUUGUAUCUCCUAAACCAAGCUGACCGUGUUCACCCCAACCCCAUGUCAUUACUGAUCCGUCAUCUGUUACCACGGCAGAAUGCUCAGCUCCUGCACCAAUUUGGACAACCUUUGUACUAUUGAAGUCGAGGACUCUUUGCAGGACACCUUCAUCUUCAGAUAUAUGAUUCAUCCCAUUGGCUUUUUGAGCACCGGUAGGAACAUUAUAAUUGUACCUGCCAAGCAUGUAUACUUCCCCAUCACCUGUCAAUACAAGAGCAUGGUUCCACCCUAAAG
This 469-nucleotide unclassified non-coding RNA is filed under the name Hevea brasiliensis (rubber tree). The record is from RNAcentral. Lineage: Eukaryota; Viridiplantae; Streptophyta; Magnoliopsida; Malpighiales; Euphorbiaceae.